GGCCUGAUAGCUCAGUCGGUAGAGCAAAGGACUGAAAAUCCUUGUGUCGCUGGUUCGAUUCCAGCUCAGGCCACCA
Molecule: transfer RNA, 76 nt
Filed under: Gammaproteobacteria bacterium
Lineage: Bacteria; Pseudomonadati; Pseudomonadota; Gammaproteobacteria
Description: tRNA-Phe
Rfam family: tRNA
About the family: Transfer RNA (tRNA) molecules are approximately 80 nucleotides in length. Their secondary structure includes four short double-helical elements and three loops (D, anti-codon, and T loops).
Source: RNAcentral